RNAcentral lists this non-coding RNA (30 nucleotides) under Mus musculus (house mouse). The record is from RNAcentral. Lineage: Eukaryota; Metazoa; Chordata; Mammalia; Rodentia; Muridae.
UCCCUACUGUCAAGGAAGCCUAGUGUCCAC